UACGGAGGGAGCUAGCGUUGUUCGGAAUUACUGGGCGUAAAGCGCACGUAGGCGGCUUUUAAGUCAGGGGUGAAAUCCCGGGGCUCAACCCCGGAACUGCCCUUGAAACUGGAGAGCUAGAAUCUUGGAGAGGCGAGUGGAAUUCCGAGUGUAGAGGUGAAAUUCGUAGAUAUUCGGAAGAACACCAGUGGCGAAGGCGACUCGCUGGACAAGUAUUGACGCUGAGGUGCGAAAGCGUGGGGAGCAAACAGG
Molecule: ribosomal RNA, 252 nt
Filed under: uncultured bacterium
Lineage: Bacteria
Description: partial 16S ribosomal RNA
Rfam family: Bacterial small subunit ribosomal RNA
Source: RNAcentral